Molecule: ribosomal RNA, 550 nt
Filed under: uncultured bacterium
Lineage: Bacteria
Description: bacterial SSU rRNA
Rfam family: Bacterial small subunit ribosomal RNA
Source: RNAcentral
UACCGGAGGUACCUAGUGGCGAACGGGUGAGUAACACGUGAGCAACCAACCCCAAAGUCAGGGAUAACACCGGGAAACCGAUGCUAAUACCAGAUACCUUCUCGGACUCACCUGAGACCAAGAAGAAAGAUUUAUCGCUUUGGGACGGGCUCGCGGCCUAUCAGCUAGUUGGUGAGGUAGCGGCUCACCAAGGCGUCGACGGGUAGCUGGUCUGAGAGGACGAUCAGCCACACUGGGACUGAGACACGGCCCAGACUCCUACGGGAGGCAGCAGUGGGGAAUAUUGCGCAAUGGGCGAAAGCCUGACGCAGCAACGCCGCGUGGAGGAUGAAGGCUCUUGGGUUGUAAACUCCUUUCAGCAGGGAAGAAAUUGACGGUACCUGCAGAAGAAGCCCCGGCCAACUACGUGCCAGCAGCCGCGGUAAGACGUAGGGGGCAAGCGUUGUCCGGAUUUAUUGGGCGUAAAGAGCUCGUAGGCGGCUGAGCAAGUCAGAUGUGAAACCCUCGGGCUUAACCCGAGGCCGCCAUCUGAUACUGCUCUAGCUAGAGU